UGUAAACAUGUGUUUCACAGUGCAAGUGA
RNAcentral lists this non-coding RNA (29 nucleotides) under Mus musculus (house mouse). The record is from RNAcentral. Lineage: Eukaryota; Metazoa; Chordata; Mammalia; Rodentia; Muridae.